CUCACUGCUCCUCCUUUAUAGGUCGUAGGGGACUGGGUGGCGGUGCUCCAAGCCAGCAGGGGGCUGGGUGGCAGUGUUCCACAUCAGUAGAACACUACUUAAUUUGCCUUUACAAAUUCUCGGAACUUAAGUAUGGGUGACAGACUGCUUUUCGACAUAGAAGAAUACCAUAAGGAAAUGGUAAUUAACUUUUGAGAGCAUGUCAUCCUAUGUUUAAAUUUCUUUGAAAGUUGUGCUUCCGCAAGCCCAGCUGUGCAUACCUCGACUGCUCUUCCUUUGGGUCGCCUGUUCUCUGUAUGUGUUUGGUCCAACAUAGAACUAAGAGGUUUCUAAUCAACUCGGUCUGCCUCAGAAUUAAGCUAAAGCUAAAUUUCUGGACAUAAUGCAUCAGCCAUAGCCCAUAGCAGUGCGUACCUCGACUAAGAGCCGUCUACCCAUGCUGGUGGAGGUGGUGGUCUAGCGAAGAAAGCUAGAAACUAAGUUACCCUGCGCCUGCAGAGAUGCUACUCCUUAAGAUCAGACUUAUUUUGCCUAUCCAUCGUCUAAUUCCAUGAUGGACUCAAAAACCUGUCCUCGGUGAUAUUUUUGUUCCGUCAUCCAGGUCUCUGUUGCCGAAUGUCUCAUUGUUGAUGUAUAUUGAGACCAGCUACCUCUGCCUUUUAGAAUCGGUGUUGGUUACACAAAACUCAUCAGGUUAUUGACGCGUGUUUCCAAACUGAUCGAAACUUAUGUAUUUAGUACUAUUUACAUGUGAUCAAAACUUAUGUAUUGAAUGCGGUGUGAAUUUCCAUAUUGCUUCCCAUGUGUGCUUCA
Molecule: non-coding RNA, 813 nt
Organism: Lolium perenne
Lineage: Eukaryota; Viridiplantae; Streptophyta; Magnoliopsida; Poales; Poaceae
Source: RefSeq, a predicted model, not a curated record